ACGGGUGAGUAAUGUCUGGGAAACUGCCUGAUGGAGGGGGAUAACUACUGGAAACGGUAGCUAAUACCGCAUAACGUCGCAAGACCAAAGAGGGGGACCUUCGGGCCUCUUGCCAUCGGAUGUGCCCAGAUGGGAUUAGCUUGUUGGUGGGGUAACGCUCACCAAGGCGACGAUCCCUAGCUGGUCUGAGAGGAUGACCAGCCACACUGGAACUGAGACACGGUCCAGACUCCUACGGGAGGCAGCAGUGGGGAGUAUUGCACAAUGGGCGCAAGCCUGAUGCAGCCAUGCCGCGUGUAUGAAGAAGGCCUUCGGGUUGUAAAGUACUUUCAGCGGGGAGGAAGGGAGUAAAGUUAAUACCUUUGCUCAUUGACGUUACCCGCAGAAGAAGCACCGGCUAACUCCGUGCCAGCAGCACGCGGUAAUACGGAGGGUGCAAGCGUUAAUCGGAAUUACUGGGCGUAAAGCGCACGCAGGCGGUUUGUUAAGUCAGAUGUGAAAUCCCCGGGCUCAACCUGGGAACUGCAUCUGAUACUGGCAAGCUUGAGUCUCGUAGAGGGGGGUAGAAUUCCACGUGUAGCGGUGAAAUGCGUAGAGAUCUGGAGGAAUACCGGUGGCUAAAGGGCCCCCCUGGACGAAGACUGACGCUCAGGUGCGAAAGCGUGGGGAGCAAACAGGAUUAGAUACCCUGGUAGUCCACGCCGUAAACGAUGUCGACUUGGAGGUUGUGCCCUUGAGGCGUGGCUUCCGGAGCUAACGCGUUAAGUCGACCGCCUGGGGAGUACGGCCGCAAGGUUAAAACUCAAAUGAAUUGACGGGGGCCCGCACAAGCGGUGGAGCAUGUGGUUUAAUUCGAUGCAACGCGAAGAACCUUACCUGGUCUUGACAUCCACAGAACUUUCCAGAGAUGGACUGGUGCCUUCGGGAACUGUGAGACAGGUGCUGCAUGGCUGUCGUCAGCUCGUGUUGUGAAAUGUUGGGUUAAGUCCCGCAACGAGCGCAACCCUUAUCCUUUGUUGCCAGCGGUCCGGCCGGGAACUCAAAGGAGACUGCCAGUGAUAAACUGGAGGAAGGUGGGGAUGACGUCAAGUCAUCAUGGCCCUUACGACCAGGGCUACACACGUGCUACAAUGGCGCAUACAAAGAGAAGCGACCUCGCGAGAGCAAGCGGACCUCAUAAAGUGCGUCGUAGUCCGGAUUGGAGUCUGCAACUCGACUCCAUGAAGUCGGAAUCGCUAGUAAUCGUGGAUCAGAAUGCCACGGUGAAUACG
This 1271-nucleotide ribosomal RNA is filed under the name uncultured bacterium. Its description in RNAcentral is "bacterial SSU rRNA". It matches the Rfam family "Bacterial small subunit ribosomal RNA", at positions 102 to 1370 of the family's 1533-position model. The record is from RNAcentral.